RNAcentral lists this long non-coding RNA (1116 nucleotides) under Gossypium barbadense (sea-island cotton). RNAcentral describes it as "long non-coding RNA (GBAR_LNC018246)". The record is from RNAcentral. Lineage: Eukaryota; Viridiplantae; Streptophyta; Magnoliopsida; Malvales; Malvaceae.
AAUCUUUCUCUUUUUGAGUCCAAUUCUAACAAAUCUGUCAUUAGGCGUGGAAAAGACAAUAGGAAACAGAAGAAGACAAAGAAAAAUAGUGGCCGUAGUAGUUUUGCCUAUUGUCCCCAUUCUGAUAACUACAAGUCUGCAAUUGAAAGCCAACAAAAGAAAGAUUGCAGUCAGAUAUGAUAAGUACUCCAAACGGAAAGCUUCAAAAAUAUGAUACAAACGUACAACUAGAAACAGUACAACUGGAAACAGUACUUUCACAUGAAAACUAGCACACAAGCCACUUUUUGCUUACACAGGGAUCAAAACCAUCUCUAUUUCACCUAUGCCUAAAACAUAUAGUCAAAUACGUUGCCAUGUCAAGUUUAUUAAGGUCAAAUUAAUUUGAUUAAAGCUAAGAGAAAUCUUAAAUAUAGUUGCUCUACACUUCAAUUAAGUGAAAGUCAGUAUCCCGCAAGUUCAUGUUAGACUACCGGAGAAAAAAGCAGAAACAGAAUCUUAUCUUCUUAGAACUUCAAAACAAAAUCAUCAACUUAAUUCAAUUGAACAGUGAAGUCAAAAGAGAUUUCACUUAAAUGUCAAUUAGUUACUCUUCCACUUCUCUCAGGUUCCAAACACUAAAAAUUUCACAGUAUCUCAUCACAUAAACGGAAAACACAACAAAAAGAUAACUACAAACUUAAACAGAUAACUUGAACUUCGAUAGUUACACGGUCAACUCAAAAGUCAAAACCAAAAAUAAUCAAAGCCAAACAGUAAAUCUUUUAAUUUAAAAUUUUUUUUCCAUGAAAUAUCAGUUUAUAUCAUCACAUACUCCAAAUAUCGCAACUAUUCAUCAAUCAAAACAAAAAAAUUCAAAAAAUAACUAAAGAAAAAGAAGAGAAAACUCACAGAAGAAAAAAGAGUAAUCCAAAGGAGAUAGAGUAAAGAAGAUUAGAACCAAAAAUAAAAAGUAAAGAUGAAUUACAUGAAUAAUUUCAAUAUAACAAACGAGAGCUACUUCCAAUUUCGAUGAUGGAUUUGAGAUGAAAUGAAGACGAAAUGAAAAUAAAAGGAGAUAUUCUCUUUUCUAGAUCCUUUUUGAGGUGUGUCUCUCAACUAUCCAUUCCUUUUGUU